This 432-nucleotide ribosomal RNA is filed under the name uncultured bacterium. RNAcentral describes it as "partial 16S ribosomal RNA". It matches the Rfam family "Bacterial small subunit ribosomal RNA", at positions 29 to 506 of the family's 1533-position model. The record is from RNAcentral.
AACGAACGCUGGCGGCAUGCCUAACACAUGCAAGUCGAACGAGACCUUCGGGUCUAGUGGCGCACGGGUGCGUAACGCGUGGGAACCUGCCCUUAGGUUCGGAAUAACUCCCCGAAAGGGGUGCUAAUACCGGAUAAUGUCUUCGGACCAAAGAUUUAUCGCCUUUGGAUGGGCCCGCGUUGGAUUAGCUAGUUGGUAGGGUAAAAGCCUACCAAGGCGACGAUCCAUAGCUGGUCUGAGAGGAUGAUCAGCCACACUGGGACUGAGACACGGCCCAGACUCCUACGGGAGGAAGCAGUGGGGAAUAUUGGACAAUGGGCGAAAGCCUGACCCAGCAAUGCCGGGUGAGGGAUGAAGGCCUUAGGGUUGUAAAGCUUUUUUACCCGGGAUGAUAAUGACAGUACCGGGAAAAAAAGCCCCGGCAAACUCCGU